AUUGAACGCUGGCGGAAUGCUUUACACAUGCAAGUCGAACGGCAGCACGGACUUCGGUCUGGUGGCGAGUGGCGAACGGGUGAGUAAUAUAUCGGAACGUAUCCAAUAAUGGGGGAUAACUAGUCGAAAGAUUGGCUAAUACCGCAUACGCCCUACGGGGGAAAGCAGGGGAUCUUCGGACCUUGCGUUAAUGGAGCGGCCGAUAUCUGAUUAGCUAGUUGGUGGGGUAAAGGCCCACCAAGGCGACGAUCAGUAGCUGGUCUGAGAGGACGACCAGCCACACUGGAACUGAGACACGGUCCAGACUCCUACGGGAGGCAGCAGUGGGGAAUUUUGGACAAUGGGCGCAAGCCUGAUCCAGCCAUUCCGCGUGAGUGAAGAAGGCCUUCGGGUUGUAAAGCUCUUUCGCAAGGGAAGAAAACUUAGCCACUAACAUUGGCUGAGGUUGACGGUACCUUGAUAAGAAGCACCGGCUAACUACGUGCCAGCCGCCGCCGUAA
Molecule: ribosomal RNA, 500 nt
Filed under: uncultured bacterium
Lineage: Bacteria
Description: partial 16S ribosomal RNA
Rfam family: Bacterial small subunit ribosomal RNA
Source: RNAcentral